GGAGACUCCAAAUAUGAAAUUUUUUAUCGCUAUUUUUCGGGUGUUUAAGAAUUUUAGAUUUUCAGUGCCAUUUCUUUGACGAUCACGAUUUAUUUCGUGUUUUUCAUUUAUGCGAAUCCGUAAGGAAAAUAACUACAUUAUCAUUUCGUAUUAUAAUUCAUUUUCAAGUAGCCCUGCUUAUUGACUUAUCGAGCAGUUUACGUUUAUGACA
Molecule: non-coding RNA, 211 nt
Organism: Cinara cedri
Lineage: Eukaryota; Metazoa; Arthropoda; Insecta; Hemiptera; Aphididae
Source: the annotation of a GenBank genome assembly